GUAUUCACCGCAUCGCACGCUCGUCUUGGAUCCAAGUAGAUGCUAGUCGUACAGUCCACGCGGAGUGGGUACGACAGGCCAGUCGCGAGAGUGUUAGUGAGAUUCCGACUGGUGGGUGACCUUAGAUUAUGUGCACAGAUGAUUUAUGAGAAGCACUAGAGCGUAACUUGUGUGCAGAAGGCCGUACAGGUCACGCGGAGUGACUCCGGCAGAGUGUGAGAGUGAUAGAUUUUGAGCUCUAGGUUCAACCGGGCUAAUAGAGGGCCUCCGGUUGAUUAUCUUAUUGCACCUGAUAUGAUUUAUGUUGAUGCAUUCAUACCUUAUUACUGUUGAGAUGAUGUGGCAUGGCAUAAUUAAUAUGAGAAAUGUUGAGAUGAUGUGGCAUGGCAUAAUUAUGAUGAAAAUGUUGAGUUAAUGAAUUGAAGUAUUGAGAAUAUAUAUAUGUAUAUUUAUAUUUUAUAUUUCUGGGAAAGUAUACAGGUUUUACGGAGAGGGGUUACAACGUUUUGAGAAAUGUUUGGAUUUGGAAAAGAAUUGUUUUACUGACCCACUCAAUUUUGGUUUUGCGCCCCUCCAGGUUCAGGAAUCAUAAAGGUGUGGUGACUACGAGGAAAUUGACGGUGUUCUGACAGAUUGGACAAAAUUAGGACUCACCUUCGGGUGUAUCAACUUAUAAAUUGUAUCUUAAAGCUUCCGUACUGUGCAAAUGGUUACGUCACUCUCACGUGACGGCCAGCAUGCCCUCCUUCGGGACGGGGUGUGUCAGUUGGUAUCAGAGCAUGGUUGCAAUCUUGGACAUCUUGAGAAGUUCUAGUGAAUUCUGUCAGAACUACACCGCCUCGUAGUAAGCCACUUAGUUAGAGGAAUUUAGUCUCCCUAAUAUAGCGGUUUAGGGGAAACUAUUAUUAUGGUGAUUCAGUCUAUUAUAAAAAGGGACAUUUUAAGACGGGUUAUGAGUCGAAUUUGAAUCACCUUAUGGAAUGAUGAACCUGAGGGAGCGAAGUAACGGUUUAACCAUUUGGAAAAGAUGUUUCAGAUUAUGCAAGUUAAAGGAAAUUUCCUUCUGACAAGGGGUCGAGACGACUACCUGGUUUUGGGUAUGAAUUUGUAUCCUGGUGGAAACAGGAGUAUGAUUUGUUGUCACCGGAGGAACAGUCGAUUGAGAAUUGUUUAAGGACUUGUUUAAGGAAAAGUUUAUCCCUCCGGCAUUUAUCGAUGGUAGUAAGCAAGAGUUUGCAAAUGUGAAUCAAGGAAGUUGACGAUAAAUGAAUAUUAUAGAAAGUUUUCAGACUUGCCUCGUUCCAUCCAGAUAUUUGAGACAAGGUGUCUCGAGUAAAGGAAAUGUACCUUGUGCAGCAGGUACAAAAUUAACACUUUGAGAAAUGUGAAAUUAAUGAAUGUGUUUAUGUGGAUAGAGGGGACGCAGAAUUGUGAAUUGUCCCUAGAAUCAGUUGUACUCAACAAUUUUCCAUGAUAUCAUAGUGUCGAUUCAGCAGAGUUAUGGACUUAGUAGUUUGGUCGGAUUGACCGUGAGUACAGAGAGAUUUGAUGAGUUAUAUGUUCAGCCGUACAGACCAUGAGAAAUGGAUUCGACUGACACAUGAGAAAUUGGUGAGUUAUAGGUUCGGCCGUACCGACCACGCGGAGUGGAUCCGGCCGACGUAUUAUUGAGAUAAGAGUUGAAUCAGCCGUAUUGAUCAUUCUAGUUGACUUCGGCUGAUAUAUUUCUUAUUAUGUAUGUUAUAUCUUUGAGAGUGGUUGCCUACUUAUCGAGACAACGAUGAUUUAUUAGUAUUGCGGGCUGCAGACCGUAAUAUUAAUACUCAUUCGUGGAUUCGUUAAGCAAGCAACCCGGUAGAUUAUUUUAUGUUAGUAUUGUACUUAUUCAGAAUGUUCAGUAAUAAUAAAGUAUGUAUUGGGUCAGUUAAUUUUAUUCCAUUAGAUUGAUUGUUUAUAGUUGUGACUAGAUGGAAUGUUACGAGAAACCAGUUACUUUCCAUCGAGUUGAUUAAUUAGAGGUUACUUUGGUGGGGCAUACAAAGUGAAAUGAGUUCAGCCAUUAUUUAUGCUGUGAAAGCAAAGAUAUUGUUUUGAAAGGCUGCCCAAACAUACUUAGUUCAUGUGGUGCUAAAUGAUGUUGUUUGGAGUAGUGUGAAUAAUGUCGAAAGGGUUAGACUUUUCUUGAUGUCUUCCCUGAAAGUAUACCUGGAUUGCCUUCAGGCAGAGAUAUGAGAUUCACUAUUGAUUUGUUGCCAGGUAUAAAUUUAUGUUAAAGAUUGGUUCAUGAUGAGUUAAGGGAAUUGGAAAUUCAGUUGAAAGAAUUGGUUGAUAAAAGUUUUAUUCAACCUAGUACAACGCUUUGGGGGAGCCCCAGUUCGUUGGUGAGGAAGAAAAUGGAUUUUAAGACUGUUCAUUGAUUAUAGACAAUGGAGUCGGGUAACGAUUAAGAACCGUUAUCCAUGGUGAUGUACUGAUGUUUAUUUAACCAGCUCAGAAGUAAUUGCGAAGAUUCAAAGAUUGAAUUGAGAUCUGGUUACUACCAAUUGAAUAUUAUAAGUGACGUUGAUCAUAAGAUGGUUUUCUGGACUUGUUAUGGUCCUUAUGAAGUUUGGUGAUGCUAUGUGGAUACUCAUGCUGUUUUAUGAGUUGAUGGAUGAAGUAUUCCAAUAAUGCCUUGAUAAAUUGAUAUCAUUCUUAUUGAAGAUAUUCUGGCAUAUUCUGAGCCAGAGCAGAGCAUGUAAACGUAUUAAGUCGGUGAAGCAAAGAUUGAGAGAACGUUGGUUGUAUGCUAAGUAGCAAAUGCUAAAGUUAGAUGAAUCAGGUGGCAUUCUGAGAUUUGUUAUAUAUUCUUAAGGUAUUUAAGUGAAUCCUUAAAAGAUAGCAGAAAUUGAGAAUUUGGAACAACCACGAGUCGUAAUUGAGAUUUGGAAUUUCUUAACUUACCAGGCUAUCUUGGAUGGUUGUGAAAGAGUUUUAGUCAUUGCUUUGUCAUUGACGAGACUGUUGAGAAAGGAGGUUAUGUAUGAGUAGGAAGGAAAUUGUGAGUAAAGGAUUCAACAACUGAAGUAUUUCCUCACUCAUGCACGUAUUUUAGUAAUCCCAGAGAAUAGUGGUAAUCAUAAAUUUUUAGUGAUGUUUCUUGAAUGGUAUUGGAGGCAUGUUGAUGCAAAUGUUAGGGUGAUUGCAUACAUUUCACGAUAAUGGAACCUCAUGAGAUGAAUUACCCUACGGGUGACUUAGAAGUCAUGAUUACCAUUCUUGCUGUGAAGUUAUGAAGGCAUUAUAUUUGGUAAGAAUGCAAGAUUUUACGAAUCCAAAAGUCUUCAAUAUUCAUUACUUGGAAAGAUUUUGAUAUAAGGCAGCGAAAGUGAAUUGUAUUGUUAAAUGAAUAUGAUUGUACGAUCAGGGUGAUCGUGAAUUGUUGUAGCUGAUACACUUGGUGAAAAGAUUGCAGUAAGAUUAAUGUCAGGCACGCUUGCCAAGAUUAUCUUCUCGUGGAUUGAAAAUCAAUUAAAGUAAAGUUAAGAAUGAAAGAUCGAGAAGAAGUUAUACUUGUUAAUUUUCAAGUUAGGCCUGUUUGGUAAGGUCGUACUCGAAAUAUAAAUGUUUGACGAGGAAAUUUAAGAAUUAACCAAGGCAGAGAAAGAAGGGAAAAAGAAUGAGUACAUGAUUCGUGAAUCAAAUGGUAUGUGGAUACAAGAAAACAAAAAGUAUGUGCCUAAUGUUGAGGAUUUGAAGCAAGCAAAUAUUGGACGAAGUUCACUGUUCAACUUCUGCAAUAUUCCAAAAGUAAUAAGAUUUAUCAUACCAUUCGACAGUUUUAUUUGGUCAGCAGAUUGAGGCAGAAAAAGAUAAACCUUUGGAUUGAGAUAACUAUUUUCUGUUUCGCAGUGGAAAUGGAAAGAUAUUACUUUGGAUUAUGUGUACAAGUUUCCUUGUACAUAGGAUGGUUAUGAUUGAAUUUGAAGCGAUAGUUGGUCAAUGUACCAAGUUAGUACAUUUACUCCAGGGUUGAGUAACGGUACUUAUUUGUUUUAUAGAAAGAAGAAUUGGUUUACGGAACUGCUAAGUUUCUUAAGUAUGUUGGUUGCGCAGUUUCCGAAGUGAAGCCAUAAGGUUCAUGAAGUGUGUCAUGUGUGUAUUUUGUUGACUUGUGAAUGGAAUAUUUCUGGGUAGAGAAAGAUUCGAUCAAGAAAGAGUUUUUGUAAACCCUGAGACUAUGGAUGAGUCUCCUCAAAGUAUUCAGGUGAUUAAGUUAACCUGAAGAAACCAGGAAUGGCAAAAGAGAUCAACAGAUGAAUAUACCACUAAUCGAGUGUAUAACGUAGAUGAUUUUAUAUUUUUGGAAAUUUCACCAUGAAAAGAAAUAGCAAGAUUUGGAAAGGAAGACAAGAUAAGUCUUAGACACAUCAGAUCGAUUUGAUCACUAAAGGAAUCGAUGAAGUUGCAUACAAGUGGUGAUGUCUUCAGAGUUGGCUAAGGUACUUAAUGUAUUUUGGGUUCGAUACGUUGUCACUAGGUGACAAAUUCGUCACAUGAGAUCCUGAUGCAACUAUUGAGAGUUAAAUUGCAUUCGACUUGAUAAGGAACCAAGGAUGACUUUGGAUUGGAAAAAGAAGGUCCUGAGAAUUAAGACAGAGUAAGUGGUAAAAGCUUUGUGAAGGAAAUCAUUCAGUGGAAAAUUAUGUGGGAGGAAAAGAAUCGGAUGAGAGAUUUUUAACCGAAGCUAUUGUUGGAGUAUGGUUGAUUUAGUUGGUUGCUGGAAUUUCGGGGACGAAAUUCUAUAAGGAGGGAAGAUUGUCACAGCCCGUCCCGGAAUUUUAAUUCCGAGGACGUGAAAAGACCAAAAUGCCCUUAAGCGGGACUAAGGGGCGAAAAUUUAACAAUUAGAUUUAUAUUUGUAUGUGUUAAAUUGUGUUUGGACUUAGGUAGGGCCUCCUACCCUCAAAACAUUCCCUAAAACCCGUAACCUUUCCUUCUCUCUCUUUUUCUUCUUUCAUCUCAGAAAACUCUCUCUCUCUCUCUUACUCUCGAACUCACGGCAACCACCAAGAACCACCACAAUCUUGUACGAACGUUCCAUUUAAGACCACCAUCGUGAUCCUGAGGACUUCACGAGCUCGGGGAUACCAAACUCAGGUGAGUUUCACUUCGGAAAACCCUAGUUUCAGUGUCACCGUAAUAUUGCACUGUUCACGAACUUCAAAUUGGCUUUGUUUUAGGCCAAACCAAGCUCACAGUGAGCUUAAGGAAGUCCCAAGGAAGCUCGGAGUGCUUCGUUGGAAGUUUUUGGACGUAAGAACACGGAGAUCGACAAGUUCAAAGUUUGGCCGGAGCUUUCGAGGCUCUUUCCGGCGAAUCCCCGGCGAGUUAGGAGUUGAGGUAGGUAUCAAUCUCUUCGUCUCGUCAAGUACUACAACUUUCCUUUUUGUUUCACUCAAUUUCGUUGAGUAUUGAAGAAGUUAUACUCAUUUGAAAAAUACCCAGUUUCCGGCGACCUCCGAGGCUUUCGAGGCAGUUUCCGGCCAAACCACGGCGAACUAGGUGUUGUGAAAGGUACCAUUCUCUUUGUCUCUUCAAGGGCUACAACUUUCGUUUUUGAAUCACUUGAUUUCGUUGAGAAAUGACAAAGUUAUGGCAAUUUGAAAAACUGCCCAGUAAACGGCCGCCGGAAAAACCAGUCUGGCGACCCAAGGAAGAAGAUGAUGCGCGUGGGGGCGCGUGGGCCGUGCUUGUCUUGGCGCGUGGGGCGCGUGCUAAAGUAAAAAAUUAUUUUAAAAAUAUGUCGACGUCCGUGACGUCGAGUAGAUCACUGUGGUAUAUUCAUAUACCCAAUUUGAGCAAUAUAUGAGGAGUUAUUAGCUAAGAGUGGGAUUAUGCGUUAAAUAACGUCAAUUUGGUUACUUCUCGUAUAGGCGAGGAUUAUACGGACGUUGGGCAUGGCUAAGGGAGGCUCAGGGACCUUCGACACGUCGAUGUAAUCUGUGAGUGGGCAGUUUUGUAUUCCGUAUAUAUAUAUACUUGACGUUUCCCAGAAAUUGAAUUGAAAUGAAAAUAUGUUUAAAAUGAAAUGCAUAUGAGUUAUGUGGAAAAACGGGAAGUGAAAUACCAUGCAUAGAAUUGAUAUGAAAAGUAUAUAGAAAUGUGAGUUGAAAUGCCAUGCAUGAAUUAAUAUAUGAUGCAUAUGUAUGAAUUGGUGCGGUGGACGCACAGGUAAGAAUUGAUUUAUGAUGCAUAUAUAUGAAUUGGUGCGGUGGACGCACAGGUAAGAAUUGAUUUAUGAUGCAUAUGUAUGAAAUGGUGCGGUGGACGCACAGGUGAGUAUUUAUUUCUGUUAUGAUGAUGUUGAUGUAUAUUGAGCUCAAAUCCUGCACCAUAGUUUAGUGCUUAUAGUAUUCACCGCAUCGCACGCUCGUCUUGGAUCCAAGUAGAUGCUAGUCGUACAGUCCACGCGGAGUGGGUACGACAGGCCAGUCGCGAGAGUGUUAGUGAGAUUCCGACUGGUGGGUGACCUUAGAUUAUGUGCACAGAUGAUUUAUGAGAAGCACUAGAGCGUAACUUGUGUGCAGAAGGCCGUACAGGUCACGCGGAGUGACUCCGGCAGAGUGUGAGAGUGAUAGAUUUUGAGCUCUAGGUUCAACCGGGCUAAUAGAGGGCCUCCGGUUGAUUAUCUUAUUGCACCUGAUAUGAUUUAUGUUGAUGCAUUCAUACCUUAUUACUGUUGAGAUGAUGUGGCAUGGCAUAAUUUAUAUGAGAAAUGUUGAGAUGAUGUGGCAUGGCAUAAUUAUGAUGAAAAUGUUGAGUUAAUGAAUUGAAGUAUUGAGAAUAUAUAUAUGUAUAUUUAUAUUUUAUAUUUCUGGGAAAGUAUACAGGUUUUACGGAGAGGGGUUACAACGUUUUGAGAAAUGUUUGGAUUUGGAAAAGAAUUGUUUUACUGACCCACUCAAUUUUGGUUUUGCGCCCCUCCAGGUUCAGGAAUCAUAAAGGUGUGGUGACUACGAGGAAAUUGACGGUGUUCUGACAGAUUGGACAAAAUUAG
Molecule: long non-coding RNA, 7039 nt
Filed under: Malus domestica (apple)
Lineage: Eukaryota; Viridiplantae; Streptophyta; Magnoliopsida; Rosales; Rosaceae
Description: long non-coding RNA (MDOM_LNC007535)
Source: RNAcentral